UACAGAGGGUGCAAGCGUUGUUCGGAAUUAUUGGGCGUAAAGCGCGUGUAGGCGGCUUUGCAAGUCGGGUGUGAAAGCCCUCAGCUCAACUGAGGAAGUGCGCCCGAAACUGCAGAGCUUGAGUGGCGGAGAGGGUGGCGGAAUUCCCCAAGUAGAGGUGAAAUUCGUAGAUAUGGGGAGGAACACCGGUGGCGAAGGCGGCAUCCUGGACCGGCAUUGACGCUGAGGAGCGAAAGCCAGGGGAGCAAACGGG
RNAcentral lists this ribosomal RNA (253 nucleotides) under uncultured bacterium. Its description in RNAcentral is "partial 16S ribosomal RNA". It matches the Rfam family "Bacterial small subunit ribosomal RNA", at positions 524 to 776 of the family's 1533-position model. The record is from RNAcentral.